UAGUCCACGCCGUAAACGAUGAACACUAGGUGUAGCGGACUGAUUCACGUCUGCUGCGCCGUAGCUAACGCAUUAAGUGUUCCGCCUGGGGAGUACGGCCGCAAGGCUAAAACUCAAAGGAAUUGACGGGGCCCCGCACAAGCGGCGGAGCAUGCGGCUUAAUUCGAUGCAACCCGAAGAACCUUACCUGGGCUUGACAUGAUGGAUCUAGCUGUGGAAACACAGUGUGCUUACGCGUUCAUCACAGGUGGUGCAUGGCUGUCGUCAGCUCGUGUCGUGAGAUGUUGGGUUAAGUCCCGCAACGAGCGCAACCCUUGUCCUAUGUUGCCAGCACGUAAUGGUGGGGACUCAUGGGAGACUGCCGGGGACAAACCGGAGGAAGGUAAGGAUGACGUCAAGUCAGCAUGCCCCUUAUGCUCUGGGCUACACACGUGCUACAAUGGCCGUGACAAAGAGUUGCUACUUUGUGAAAACAGCUAAU
RNAcentral lists this ribosomal RNA (481 nucleotides) under uncultured bacterium. Its description in RNAcentral is "bacterial SSU rRNA". It matches the Rfam family "Bacterial small subunit ribosomal RNA", at positions 791 to 1272 of the family's 1533-position model. The record is from RNAcentral.